This is a non-coding RNA of Pelobates cultripes (western spadefoot toad), 212 nucleotides long. Lineage: Eukaryota; Metazoa; Chordata; Amphibia; Anura; Pelobatidae. The record is from the annotation of a GenBank genome assembly.
GUGGCAUAUCAAGAUGCUGAUUCGACGGCAUGAUUAUUGCACAGUGUGACAGACCCAUCUGUCUUUGAAAUACUUUUAUUCCUCCUUGGUUCGUCUGUUUGUUCGUCUAAUUGACUGUCCGUACAGCCGUUUCGUUUAUUUACCCUUUUCCUGAAUGAACUGCCGAACGGCCGGCCACUCAGCAUGGAAGUGUGCUGCUGGUUAACCUCUUG